UACAGAGGUCCCAAGCGUUGUUCGGAUUCAUUGGGCGUAAAGGGUGCGUAGGUGGCAUGGUAAGUCAGGUGUUUAAUCCCGGGGCCCCAACCCCGGACAGGCACUUGAAACUGGGAAUCUUGAAUAGUGGAGAGGUCAGUGGAGUUGGGGGUGUAGCGGUGGAAUGCGUAGAUAUCAGGAAGAACACCGGUGGCGAAGGCGGCUCUCUGGGCCUUACCUGACGCUGAGGAGCGAAAGCGUGGGUAGCGAACAGG
Molecule: ribosomal RNA, 254 nt
Filed under: uncultured bacterium
Lineage: Bacteria
Description: partial 16S ribosomal RNA
Rfam family: Bacterial small subunit ribosomal RNA
Source: RNAcentral